This is a long non-coding RNA of Homo sapiens (human), 685 nucleotides long. Ensembl annotates it as LIFR antisense RNA 1. Its record names the gene LIFR-AS1. The record is from Ensembl. NCBI's taxonomy places the organism in Eukaryota, Metazoa, Chordata, Mammalia, Primates, Hominidae.
CACCCAAUAGAAGGGAAAAUGGCAGAGGGAAAGUCCUAGUGGAAAGAGACCUCAGUCUCAGCUAAUUGUGGUGACAAUAUAUUGCUUUUGCAAAUUGUACAUAAACAUAUGACCAGGUGAAUGUAUCGCCAAGGCUCCUGCCAAGGCCUGGGAUGGAGGCCUAGAGAAGAUGCCCGAAAGUUUAUGCUGUGUGAGCUUCACAGAAGACCUGCCUUCCAUGUAUACCCAUUUUACAGGACUCUCCAGAACUCUAAGAUGUCAGAACAAACUUUGGGACAUAGCUGGUCUUGUAGCAAAGGAUACAAAGAAUAGAUGAACUACACCUGGCUCUUCGAGUGUCUGAUAGAAGAAACACACCUUACCCACAGCCAUGUUACAUUGGCCAAAACAGGUCACGUGGCCACACUUGGGGCCAGUGAAGUAGAGAAGGAUAAUAUUUCUACAGAAAAGGGAUACCACAGGGAGGAGCAGCCAACAUUUUGAACAGAAAUAUAAUCUGCUAUAUAGGACAUUUCAUAAAGUAGGUCAAAUAUUUUUGGAAAAAAAAAAGAGGGGAGUCUAUGUAUGGUCAGUUAAGUUUAGGAACUCCUACAUAAUACCCAUCUCUAGAGCUAUGCAAUGUAAACCAGCACACCGAAGGCUCUCAGAAGUCCUGCAAUAGAAAAAUAAAAUCAAGAUUGUUUAA